UGCAGCGCUGUCGAAACCGAU
RNAcentral lists this microRNA (21 nucleotides) under Eugenia uniflora (Surinam cherry). RNAcentral describes it as "eun-miR397b-5p". Its record names the gene eun-miR397b-5p. Lineage: Eukaryota; Viridiplantae; Streptophyta; Magnoliopsida; Myrtales; Myrtaceae. The record is from miRBase by way of RNAcentral.